AGAGUUUGAUCAUGGCUCAGAUUGUACGCUGGCGGCAGGCUUCACACAUGCAAGUCGAACGGUAACAGGAAGGAAGCUUGCUUUCUUUGCUGACGAGUGGCGGACGGGUGAGUAAUGCUUGGGAAUCUGGCUUAUGGAGGGGGAUAACUACGGGAAACUGUAGCUAAUACCGCGUAAUAUCUUCGGAUUAAAGGGUGGGACCGUAAGGCCACCUGCCAUAAGAUGAGCCCAAGUGGGAUUAGGUAGUUGGUGGGGUAAAGGCCUACCAAGCCGACGAUCUCUAGCUGGUCUGAGAGGAUGACCAGCCACACUGGAACUGAGACACGGUCCAGACUCCUACGGGAGGCAGCAGUGGGGAAUAUUGCACAAUGGGGGGGACCCUGAUGCAGCCAUGCCGCGUGAAUGAAGAAGGCCUUCGGGUUGUAAAGUUCUUUCGGUGAUGAGGAAGGCAGGUAAGUUAAUAGCUUACUUGAUUGACGUUAGUCACAGAAGAAGCACCGGCUAACUCCGUGCCAGCAGCCGCGGUAAUACGGAGGGUGCGAGCGUUAAUCGGAAUGACUGGGCGUAAAGGGCACGCAGGCGGUGACUUAAGUGAGAUGUGAAAGCCCCGGGCUUAACCUGGGAAUUGCAUUUCAUACUGGGUCGCUAGAGUAUUUUAGGGAGGGGUAGAAUUCCACGUGUAGCGGUGAAAUGCGUAGAGAUGUGGAGGAAUACCGAAGGCGAAGGCAGCCCCUUGGGAAUAUACUGACGCUCAUGUGCGAAAGCGUGGGGAGCAAACAGGAUUAGAUACCCUGGUAGUCCACGCUGUAAACGCUGUCGAUUUGGGGAUUGGGCUUUGAGCUUGGUGCCCGUAGCU
RNAcentral lists this ribosomal RNA (856 nucleotides) under uncultured bacterium. RNAcentral describes it as "bacterial SSU rRNA". It matches the Rfam family "Bacterial small subunit ribosomal RNA", at positions 8 to 853 of the family's 1533-position model. The record is from RNAcentral.